AUUGAACGCUGGCGGCAGGCUUAACACAUGCAAGUCGAGCGGAGUGAUGGUGCUUGCACUAUCACUUAGCGGCGGACGGGUGAGUAAUGCUUAGGAAUCUGCCUAUUAGUGGGGGACAACAUCUCGAAAGGGAUGCUAAUACCGCAUACGUCCUACGGGAGAAAGCAGGGGAUCACUUGUGACCUUGCGCUACUAGAUGAGCCUAGGUUGGAUUAGAUAGUUGGGGGGGUAAAGGCCUACCAAGGCGACGAUCUGUAGCGGGUCUGAGAGGAUGAUCCGCCACACUGGGACUGAGACACGGCCCAGACUCCUACGGGAGGCAGCAGUGGGGAAUAUUGGACAAUGGGGGGAACCCUGAUCCAGCCAUGCCGCGUGUGUGAAGAAGGCCUUAUGGUUGUAAAGCACUUUAAGCGAGGAGGAGGCUCUUUUGGUUAAUACCCAAGAUGAGUGGACGUUACUCGCAGAAUAAGCACCGGCUAACUCUGUGCCAGCAGCCGCCGUAA
This 503-nucleotide ribosomal RNA is filed under the name uncultured bacterium. RNAcentral's name for it is "partial 16S ribosomal RNA". It matches the Rfam family "Bacterial small subunit ribosomal RNA", at positions 30 to 523 of the family's 1533-position model. The record is from RNAcentral.